UACGUAGGGUGCAAGCGUUAAUCGGAAUUACUGGGCGUAAAGCGUGCGCAGGCGGUGAUGUAAGACAGGUGUGAAAUCCCCGGGCUUAACCUGGGAACUGCAUUUGUGACUGCAUCGCUGGAGUGCGGCAGAGGGGGAUGGAAUUCCGCGUGUAGCAGUGAAAUGCGUAGAUAUGCGGAGGAACACCGACGGCGAAGGCAAUCCCCUGGGCCUGCACUGACGCUCAUGCACGAAAGCGUGGGGAGCAAACAGG
This 253-nucleotide ribosomal RNA is filed under the name uncultured bacterium. RNAcentral describes it as "partial 16S ribosomal RNA". It matches the Rfam family "Bacterial small subunit ribosomal RNA", at positions 524 to 776 of the family's 1533-position model. The record is from RNAcentral.